RNAcentral lists this ribosomal RNA (629 nucleotides) under uncultured fungus. RNAcentral's name for it is "eukaryotic LSU rRNA". The stretch from base 214 to 367 matches the Rfam family "5.8S ribosomal RNA". Lineage: Eukaryota; Fungi. The record is from RNAcentral.
AGUAAAAGUCGUAACAAGGUCUCCGUUGGUGAACCAGCGGAGGGAUCAUUACAAGAGUAGCCCUAGGCUCUCCAACCCACUGUGAACAUACCUACGUUCCCCCGGCGGGCUCAGCGCGCGGUGCCUCCGGGCGCCGGGCGUCCGCCGAGGGCAUCCAAACUCGAAUUUAUUACGUGUAUAUCUGAGGGGCGAAAGCCUGUAAAAAUAAAUCAAAACUUUCAACAACGGAUCUCUUGGCUCUGGCAUCGAUGAAGAACGCAGCGAAAUGCGAUAAGUAAUGUGAAUUGCAGAAUUCAGUGAAUCAUCGAAUCUUUGAACGCACAUUGCGCCCGCCGGCACUCCGGCGGGCAUGCCUGUCCGAGCGUCAUUUCAACCCUCAGGCCCUCCCUUCCGGGGGACGGGCCUGGUGUUGGGGCUCGGGGUCCGCAAGGCCCCCGUCCCCUAAAAUCAUUGGCGGUCGCGCUGUAAUCCCCUGCGUAGUAACACACCUCGCUCUGGAGACCAGCACGUCCACGCCGUAAAACCCCCAAUUUACCAAGGUUGACCUCGGAUCAGGUAGGAAUACCCGCUGAACUUAAGCAUAUCAAUAGGCGGAGGAAAAGAAACCAACAGGGAUUGCCUCAGUAACG